This 1200-nucleotide ribosomal RNA is filed under the name Escherichia coli. Its description in RNAcentral is "partial 23S ribosomal RNA". It matches the Rfam family "Bacterial large subunit ribosomal RNA", at positions 307 to 1516 of the family's 2925-position model. Lineage: Bacteria; Pseudomonadati; Pseudomonadota; Gammaproteobacteria; Enterobacterales; Enterobacteriaceae. The record is from RNAcentral.
AGCCUGAAUCAGUGUGUGUGUUAGUGGAAGCGUCUGGAAAGGCGUGCGAUACAGGGUGACAGCCCCGUACACAAAAAUGCACAUAUUGUGAGCUCGAUGAGUAGGGCGGGACACGUGGUAUCCUGUCUGAAUAUGGGGGGACCAUCCUCCAAGGCUAAAUACUCCUGACUGACCGAUAGUGAACCAGUACCGUGAGGGAAAGGCGAAAAGAACCCCGGCGAGGGGAGUGAAAAAGAACCUGAAACCGUGUACGUACAAGCAGUGGGAGCCUCUUUUAUGGGGUGACUGCGUACCUUUUGUAUAAUGGGUCAGCGACUUAUAUUCUGUAGCAAGGUUAACCGAAUAGGGGAGCCGAAGGGAAACCGAGUCUUAACUGGGCGUUAAGUUGCAGGGUAUAGACCCGAAACCCGGUGAUCUAGCCAUGGGCAGGUUGAAGGUUGGGUAACACUAACUGGAGGACCGAACCGACUAAUGUUGAAAAAUUAGCGGAUGACUUGUGGCUGGGGGUGAAAGGCCAAUCAAACCGGGAGAUAGCUGGUUCUCCCCGAAAGCUAUUUAGGUAGCGCCUCGUGAAUUCAUCUCCGGGGGUAGAGCACUGUUUCGGCAAGGGGGUCAUCCCGACUUACCAACCCGAUGCAAACUGCGAAUACCGGAGAAUGUUAUCACGGGAGACACACGGCGGGUGCUAACGUCCGUCGUGAAGAGGGAAACAACCCAGACCGCCAGCUAAGGUCCCAAAGUCAUGGUUAAGUGGGAAACGAUGUGGGAAGGCCCAGACAGCCAGGAUGUUGGCUUAGAAGCAGCCAUCAUUUAAAGAAAGCGUAAUAGCUCACUGGUCGAGUCGGCCUGCGCGGAAGAUGUAACGGGGCUAAACCAUGCACCGAAGCUGCGGCAGCGACGCUUAUGCGUUGUUGGGUAGGGGAGCGUUCUGUAAGCCUGUGAAGGUGUGCUGUGAGGCAUGCUGGAGGUAUCAGAAGUGCGAAUGCUGACAUAAGUAACGAUAAAGCGGGUGAAAAGCCCGCUCGCCGGAAGACCAAGGGUUCCUGUCCAACGUUAAUCGGGGCAGGGUGAGUCGACCCCUAAGGCGAGGCCGAAAGGCGUAGUCGAUGGGAAACAGGUUAAUAUUCCUGUACUUGGUGUUACUGCGAAGGGGGGACGGAGAAGGCUAUGUUGGCCGGGCGACGGUUGUCCCGGUUUAAG